AACGAACGCUGGCGGCAGGCCUAAAACAUGCAAGUCGAACGCCCCGCAAGGGGAGUGGCGCACGGGUGAGUAACGCGUGGGAACGUGCCCUUCACUACGGGACAACGUCGGGAAACUGACGCUAAUACCGUAUAAUGACUCCGGUCCAAAGAUUUAUCGGUGAAGGAGCGGCCCGCGUCUGAUUAGCUAGUUGGUGAGGUAAUGGCUCACCAAGGCUACGAUCAGUAGCAGGUCUGAGAGGAUGAUCUGCCACACUGGGACUGAGACACGGCCCAGACUCCUACGGGAGGCAGCAGUUAGGAAUAUUGGACAAUGGGCGAAAGCCUGAUCCAGCCAUGCCGCGUGUGUGAUGAAGGCUCUAGGGUUGUAAAGCACUUUCGUUGAGGAAGAUAAUGACUGUACUCAAAGAAGAAGCACCGGCUAACUUCGUGCCAGCCGCCGCAGUAA
This 447-nucleotide ribosomal RNA is filed under the name uncultured bacterium. Its description in RNAcentral is "partial 16S ribosomal RNA". It matches the Rfam family "Bacterial small subunit ribosomal RNA", at positions 29 to 523 of the family's 1533-position model. The record is from RNAcentral.